RNAcentral lists this long non-coding RNA (1735 nucleotides) under Sus scrofa (pig). RNAcentral describes it as "lncRNA (ENSSSCG00000046958.2)". Lineage: Eukaryota; Metazoa; Chordata; Mammalia; Artiodactyla; Suidae. The record is from RNAcentral.
AGACUUGCAGUCCUUCUCCACAGCUGUGUUCUUUGCCGAUCGCAGAUUGCAGUCCUUUGUGAUUCCAGGAUAAAUCCAUUUUGCUGGUAAAAUAACUGGCUGUUUCCUUGUUUUAGGUUAGCAACCCCCUCCCAAGGCCAAGGCCACACCUGCUUCAAAGCAGGCUUGAAGAGCAGACUGGAAGCCUCCUAUGACGGAAGCUAGGUUCUUUGGGACUCAGUGACCUCUGUGCUGAGUGGAUACUCCUUCAGAAAGGCUUUUCCUUUGUUCUUCCAGAGACCCAGCGCCUCGUCUGUUUCCCUACGUGUGGCUCUAGGUGGCCUGAAAAAAGCAAGUUAUCCUGACGGCAUCUUCAGCUGCACGACUUGCUGACCAGCCCCGUGCUCGGCCUGAGAGAGGGAACCUUAGUAGAGGAUGUACCGGGGCCAGAGCCGGAGAAGGACGUUUUGGACCCAUGGGCGCGCCUGUUCACAGACGCAGAGGCUCGGAGAGCCUGCGUGUCCAGGACGACGCGUAUCAGGAGAGGGGGUCCCUGGCUGUGUUCCCGCUCUGUCCUCCCUAUAGCUCCCCGCACACCCGGAUGUGGCCCCGUGGAGCCGGCCCCCGGGGGCCCGGCAGCUCUCAGAGCGUCUGAGAUGCUGGUCUCCCUGGAAGGCUGCUUCCUCUGCUCAAAGUGGCCCUCCGUUUCUCACUUUUCUGUUUCGAAGGCUGCAUACGAGUGUACCUUCGGCAUGCGUCUCUUUUGGAGAACCUGUCACCUUGAAAGUCGUGCUGCCCAUACAGCAACCCCCCCCCCCAGCAUGGGGAGGGGCCCUUCCCAAAGCCAGUGACCAAGAAAGAAUGCUUUUCUCGCUUGCUGAAGCCGAAGCCCUUCCCAGCCUGUGGGCUCUCACUCCCUCUGCCCCGGGUUCUGACGGCUUCUGGUGACCGGCAGCCCCGUCUGUCCCUUCACGCUCUCCCCGGUGGGACCGGGGGCCUCCACGGCCUGGGCCUGCUCGUCUCGGUCUGACCUCCGGAGGUCACCUCUCAGUCGCUCUCCUGAAACCACCUGCAGGUCUCCUGGCCUUGUGGCCUUGUGGGUGAUCUCAGGGCCCCCCAUUUCUGCUCCUCCCCAUGGACUGCUCCUGGGUCCUCUUCCAGAAAGCUCUCUGAGUCUCUGCAAGUGUUGGAGGCACUGUCUCAACCAGGACCCCCUUUCUCUCCUGCCUUCAGGGACUGUCCCCAGCUGCCAGCAUGCCCACUUUAUUUGCGCUCACACGGCCUCGAGCAGGUACCCCUGCCCUCUGGUCUCCAGAGAGUGACUGUUGGGAGCAAACGUUCUUGCCACGUCCUGGCUCCUUCCAACCCGUGCGUGUGCUGCCCAUCGCUUGGCCUUCUCCCUGGCCGUGCCGCGGCCCCCGCUCUGGAUCCCGGGCCGUUCUGCCUGCGUGAGGACCUCACCGCACCAGCGGGGCCCCACCUCCUGCCCCCGUCCGUCACCCCCCUGGCUCCCCAGUCCCAGCAGAUACAGGCUCCCAAGCCUUUACCUUCGCAGGGAGCUGCGCACGUGGGCCCUUGAGCUGUCUUUUCUGAACACCGCCCUCUCACAGCCAGAGAGGAGCCAGCACACUGGUGACGGCCUGCCCCCGCUCACUCCAACUCCUCAUCCCGCAGAAAGGCCCAUCACCCAGUCACUGAAAGUGCUCCCCAGCGGAUCACCCGAGGCCCGCCAGAUCCAAAUUUAGGAAUUCUCCAC